AAUCUUGCGCAAUGGGCGAAAGCCUGACGCAGCCAUGCCGCGUGAAUGAUGAAGGUCUUAGGAUUGUAAAAUUCUUUAUCCGGGGACGAUAAGGACGGUUCUCUGAGAAGUAGACACGGCUAACUUCGCGACAGCAGCCGCGGUAAUACGAAGGGGGCUCGCGUUACGCGGAAUUACUGGGCGUAAAGGGCGCGUAGGCGGACAUUUAAGUCAGGGGUGAAAUCCCAGAGCUCAACUCUGGAACUGCCUUUGAUACUGGGUGUCUUGAGUGUGAGAGAGGUAUGUGGAACUCCGAGUGUAGAAGUGAAAUUCGUAGAUAUUCGGAAGAACACCAGUGGCGAAGGCGACAUACUGGCUCAUUACUGACGCUGAGGCGCGAAAGCGUGGGGAGCAAACA
This 397-nucleotide ribosomal RNA is filed under the name uncultured bacterium. Its description in RNAcentral is "partial 16S ribosomal RNA". It matches the Rfam family "Bacterial small subunit ribosomal RNA", at positions 360 to 774 of the family's 1533-position model. The record is from RNAcentral.